GAUGAACGCUGGCGGCGUGCCUAAUACAUGCAAGUCGAGCGAACGGACGAGAAGCUUGCUUCUCUGAUGUUAGCGGCGGACGGGUGAGUAACACGUGGAUAACCUACCUAUAAGACUGGGAUAACUUCGGGAAACCGGAGCUAAUACCGGAUAAUAUUUUGAACCGCAUGGUUCAAAAGUGAAAGACGGUCUUGCUGUCACUUAUAGAUGGAUCCGCGCUGCAUUAGCUAGUUGGUAAGGUAACGGCUUACCAAGGCAACGAUGCAUAGCCGACCUGAGAGGGUGAUCGGCCACACUGGAAGUGAGACACGGUCCAGACACCUACGGGAGGCAGCAGUAGGGAAUCUUCCGCAAUGGGCGAAAGCCUGGCGGAGCAACGCCGCGUGAGUGAUGAAGGUCUUCGGAUCGUAAAACUCUGUUAUUAGGGAAGAACAUAUGUGUAAGUAACUGUGCACAUCUUGACGGUACCUAAUCAGAAAGCCACGGCUAACUACGUG
Molecule: ribosomal RNA, 497 nt
Filed under: uncultured bacterium
Lineage: Bacteria
Description: partial 16S ribosomal RNA
Rfam family: Bacterial small subunit ribosomal RNA
Source: RNAcentral